RNAcentral lists this ribosomal RNA (514 nucleotides) under Peptococcaceae bacterium 73bG. RNAcentral describes it as "bacterial SSU rRNA". It matches the Rfam family "Bacterial small subunit ribosomal RNA", at positions 1 to 527 of the family's 1533-position model. The record is from RNAcentral. Lineage: Bacteria; Bacillati; Bacillota; Clostridia; Eubacteriales; Peptococcaceae.
UAGAGUUUGAUCAUGGCUCAGGACGAACGCUGGCGGCGUGCCUAACACAUGCAAGUCGAACGGGGUUUAGAUGAAAGUUUACUUUCAUCUAAACCUAGUGGCGGACGGGUGAGUAACGCGUGGAUAACCUGCCCAUUAGACCGGGAUAACGCCGGGAAACUGGUGCUAAUACCGGAUACGCUCUUAUCUUCGCAUGGAGAGGAGAGGAAAGGGGCAACCCACUAAUGGAUGGAUCCGCGUCCCAUUAGCUAGAUGGCGGGGUAACGGCCCACCAUGGCGACGAUGGGUAGCCGGCCUGAGAGGGUGACCGGCCACACUGGGACUGAGACACGGCCCAGACUCCUACGGGAGGCAGCAGUGGGGAAUCUUCCGCAAUGGGCGAAAGCCUGACGGAGCAACGCCGCGUGAGUGACGAAGGCCUUCGGGUCGUAAAACUCUGUCUUCAGGGAAGAGCAAAGACGGUACCUGAGGAGGAAGCCCCGGCUAACUACGUGCCAGCCGCCGCGGUAAUUCA